This 107-nucleotide small nuclear RNA is filed under the name Prolemur simus (greater bamboo lemur). Lineage: Eukaryota; Metazoa; Chordata; Mammalia; Primates; Lemuridae. The record is from RNAcentral.
GUGCUCGCUUCGGCAGCAUAUAUACUAAAAUUGGAAUGAUACAGAGAAGAUUAGCAUGGCCCCUGCACAAGGAUGACACGCAAAUUCGUGGAAGAGAGCACAAGGGG